GUCGAAAGGGAAGCGCUUGAAGUCAGCCAUGCUGCUUGAGACUCAGCCUUGCUUUUGCUUGGUGUAUUUCUCGGUAGCAAGCCAGCAUUGGUUCGAGUCGUCGGAGAAGGGUAUGAGAAAUGUGGCAUCCUCGGAUGUGUUAUAGACUUGUACUGGAUACGACGAUUUGGAUCAAGGAACGCAGUGUGCCUCUGGCGGG
RNAcentral lists this ribosomal RNA (199 nucleotides) under Malassezia pachydermatis. RNAcentral's name for it is "partial large subunit ribosomal RNA". Lineage: Eukaryota; Fungi; Basidiomycota; Malasseziomycetes; Malasseziales; Malasseziaceae. The record is from RNAcentral.